RNAcentral lists this ribosomal RNA (433 nucleotides) under uncultured bacterium. Its description in RNAcentral is "partial 16S ribosomal RNA". It matches the Rfam family "Bacterial small subunit ribosomal RNA", at positions 29 to 507 of the family's 1533-position model. The record is from RNAcentral.
AACGAACGCUGGCGGCAUGCCUAACACAUGCAAGUCGAACGAAGCCUUCGGGCUUAGUGGCGCACGGGUGCGUAACGCGUGGGAAUCUGCCCCUUGCUUCGGAAUAACAGUUAGAAAUGACUGCUAAUACCGGAUGAAGACUUCGGACCAAAGAUUUAUCGGCAAGGGAUGAGCCCGCGUAGGAUUAGGUAGUUGGUGGGGUAAAGGCCUACCAAGCCGACGAUCCUUAGCUGGUCUGAGAGGAUGAUCAGCCACACUGGGACUGAGACACGGCCCAGACUCCUACGGGAGGCAGCAGUGGGGAAUAUUGGACAAUGGACGCAAGUCUGAUCCAGCAAUGCCGCGUGAGUGAUGAAGGCCUUAGGGUUGUAAAGCUCUUUUACCAGGGAUGAUAAUGACAGUACCUGGAGAAUAAGCUCCGGCUAACUCCGUG